Long non-coding RNA from Diachasmimorpha longicaudata, 876 nucleotides. RefSeq lists it as uncharacterized. The transcript is spliced from 3 exons. The record is from RefSeq and is a predicted model, not a curated record. Lineage: Eukaryota; Metazoa; Arthropoda; Insecta; Hymenoptera; Braconidae.
UGCUCAACGCGUCGUGAAUAAAACUCAUAAUUCGUAUUUCUGAAUUGAUAAUUUUGUUCAUUACUCAUUCACUGAUUUUGCCAUUUCUCUAAAUUUUGUGGUUAUGAUGGUUUGUUACAUCGAACUUGUCACGAUUAGUGAUCAGGAGUAAUGAUGAUGAGGGAUUCGUUGGCAAGCAACAGCAAGGCGCUUUGAGAUGUCGACAAGCCGGCUCCAUCGGUUGGGAAAAUGAUACUUCGCGAGAGUUCGGUCGUCUUCGUUGGGUUUUAUAUUCCCUCGUUAUAACAUUGGUUUUUACUCGAGGGGCUCGUGGGCAUUCGGCCUGUGAAACGAUUUAACGUGAUUCGAGGAGAACGCCAGUACACAGAACAGUGGCGUGGCUUGGGCUUUGUGGUUAAUACGACUGAUAUUCUUCAUAUUCUCCUAAUUAACAUUCCAUAAUGUGAAUGAUUGCAUUUGUUUACUAUCGACAUUUAUUCUCGAUAGAAAGAGUAUCAGAAGAAAUUAUUCCCGGGAAUAGUUUCGUCAUUGGCAUCAUUAGCUGAACGAAAUAUUGGAGAUUUGAGGUAUUGGCAGUGAGAAAUUUUCGGUGACGCAAUGGACGCCACCGCAACCUGUUGCUUCCCCUUCGGAGAGCGUCUCAAGCCAUUCGGAGCGUCUUCAACUGGUCCUGCGUGAAAAAAAAUAUAUCCUCCAACGUACUCAUCCUCUGCAGUAGAAAAUACUUCAUUCUGCUCUACAACGUGUUUCAGUGAGAGACAAAGAGAGCUCAUCAUCUGUUGAGGCUUCUUUCGAUCAAUUAACUGCAAUUGAUGAAUUGCCGCCUAAUCUCUCUUGUUCCCGCCUGAAUAAUUCUCGUUGUGAUCUUCACUCUCG